GAACAUGAGAGUUUGAUCCUGGCUCAGGAUGAACGCUGGCGGCGUGCUUAACACAUGCAAGUCGAACGAAACACCUUAUUUGAUUUUCUUCGGAACUGAAGAUUUGGUGAUUGAGUGGCGGACGGGUGAGUAACGCGUGGGUAACCU
RNAcentral lists this ribosomal RNA (147 nucleotides) under Anaerostipes hadrus. Its description in RNAcentral is "partial 16S ribosomal RNA". It matches the Rfam family "Bacterial small subunit ribosomal RNA", at positions 1 to 127 of the family's 1533-position model. RNAcentral also lists the same sequence under 1 other name. The record is from RNAcentral. Lineage: Bacteria; Bacillati; Bacillota; Clostridia; Lachnospirales; Lachnospiraceae.